This 494-nucleotide ribosomal RNA is filed under the name uncultured bacterium. RNAcentral's name for it is "partial 16S ribosomal RNA". It matches the Rfam family "Bacterial small subunit ribosomal RNA", at positions 28 to 507 of the family's 1533-position model. The record is from RNAcentral.
GACGAACGCUGGCGGCGUGCUUAACACAUGCAAGUCGAACGGUGAAGCGCCUUCCUUUUUGGUGGGUGUGGAUGAGUGGCGAACGGGUGAGUAACACGUGAGUAACCUGCCCCCUUCUUCUGGAUAACCGCAUGAAAGUGUGGCUAAUACGGGAUAUUCUGGGUCUGUCGCAUGAUGGGUCUGGGAAAGAUAUUGUUUCGGUGGGGGAUGGGCUCGCGGCCUAUCAGCUUGUUGGUGGGGUGAUGGCCUACCAAGGCGGUGACGGGUAGCCGGCCUGAGAGGGUGGACGGUCACACUGGGAAUGAGGCACGGCCCAGACUCCUACGGGAGGCAGCAGUGGGGAAUAUUGCACAAUGGGCGCAAGCCUGAUGCAGCGACGCCGCGUGAGGGAUGGAGGCCUUCGGGUUGUGAACCUCUUUCGCCAGUGAAGCAGGCCUGCCUCGUUUGUGGGUGGGUUGACGGUAGCUGGAUAAGAAGCGCCGGCUAACUACGUG